RNAcentral lists this ribosomal RNA (263 nucleotides) under Pseudotetracha whelani. RNAcentral's name for it is "partial 16S ribosomal RNA". The record is from RNAcentral. Lineage: Eukaryota; Metazoa; Arthropoda; Insecta; Coleoptera; Carabidae.
UGGUUGGACGAGGUAAUAGCUGUCUUUAUUUAAUAUAUAUUAGAAUUUAACUUUUAAGUCAAAAGGCUUAAAUUUAAUUGAUAGACGAGAAGACCCUAUAGAUCUUUAUUUAUAAAGUUAUGAGUUGGAUUUGGAUUAAUUUAAAGCUUGUAACUCUAUGAAUUUUAUUGGGGUAAUAUAAAGAUUAAAAAAAUUCUUUGAAUAGAUUGAACAAUGAUUAUUGACAAAUUGAUCCAUUAGUAUUGAUUAGAAGAUUAAGUUAC